AGUUCACGUGCUCGUGACUGAAUUCACCGCGUUCACGGAGUCUCUCGUCUUAAACAACAAAUAGUGUUUUAGCGACAUAAAUGAUGAAUUUCAUCGGAUCACAACCCUUCCUUUACACUCCAAAAUUCAUGUCCAAACUGGAUCUGUUCUCUGAUGAUCUGCUAAAAGUGUUUACCAAAAAGGGUGGAGUGUUAGAAAAAAGAUUCAAGAUGUGAUGCUGCCAAUGUCUCAGACCAAGCAAGAGUGCAUUCUCAAGGGGCUAUGCAUCUACCUGAAUGAAGAUGAAUAUGAUGGAGUAUUUGGAUGAUGACCCUGCAAGAACCGAAGCGGACAUAAAGAAGACCUUUUAGGGAUUCUGUGAUGUAAAGCAUGAAUUUGCUGAUUCAACAGAAGACCCUGAAGAUAUCUGCAUUGUGCUGGAAGAUGUGGAGGUGCUUUCUGGUUUAGGUAAUGUAGCAUUGGCUACAGCCAUGCUACUUGGACUAAUAUACUCUUUAAAUCUUACUCAUCCACAGUAGAUCCAUUACACUUUUAAGGUGCUCCAAAAAAUGAUUCUCGAGCUGAACUUGUGUAAAUUGUCUGCCAAAGCACAGGCGCAGAAAACAAAACUCUUCACUUGGGUGUGCUGUUUGAGGAUCCCUUUGUGAAUGCUGUUUUAUUUCCUUGUAUGCUCAUGUGAUUUUGUUGUAUCUGAAUUUUUGCACGAUGAGCAGAGGUGAUUACGUCUCUCAAUCACAUUUAAUAUCAUGUUUAAGAAAACAAAAUAAAAUAACAUUUUGUUAUAUUCUUAUAUGCUCAUGUUUUAUUUGCAUUGUCCUUUUUUUUACUUAAUGAGCAUGUUUAAUUGCCAAAUUUGCAGUUUUAAGCAAGAAGACACUCAAGGUUAAAUGUGCUCAUGUUUUAAAUACAGAUUUUUACUAAAUGGAUUGACUUAACAUAUUGACUUUCUUCACAGUAGACUAUAGGUAUACAGUAAAAAGGUUUUAAUGUAAUAGAACACAAUUAUUUCACUUUCAUUUGGAAGUAACUGUAGAGUCAAGUUAGGUAAGUGUAAUGAUUUAAAUUGUUUCUAGUAUGCAGUACAAAAAUGUUUGUAGUUGACAUUGCAUUGUUAGAUAUAGUAGAU
This is a long non-coding RNA of Carassius gibelio (silver crucian carp), 1126 nucleotides long. RefSeq lists it as uncharacterized. The record is from RefSeq and is a predicted model, not a curated record. Lineage: Eukaryota; Metazoa; Chordata; Actinopteri; Cypriniformes; Cyprinidae. The transcript is spliced from 4 exons.